Long non-coding RNA from Rhincodon typus (whale shark), 270 nucleotides. RefSeq lists it as uncharacterized. The transcript has 3 exons. The record is from RefSeq and is a predicted model, not a curated record. Lineage: Eukaryota; Metazoa; Chordata; Chondrichthyes; Orectolobiformes; Rhincodontidae.
GCUAUGCACGGCAUUGCUUAUCACUGCGCAGGCUCAGAAUGUUCCCGCGUGCCCACAAUUUAGAGCACGCGCAGUGGCAGCGAUCCUGAGAAGCGGUCGCUAUUUUCCUCGGCUCCGCAAAAGCAUGUUAGAAAAGGAUUUGCAGAUUGGAAACUCAAACCAAAUAUGAUACACCAAGAUCUAAGUGAGCCACUUGGAUAUUAUUGGCCUUUGAAUGUAGACCAGAACUGGACACAGUACUUCAGAAGAGGCCUCACCAACGUCCUGUAC